CUACGGGCUGCUGCAGUGAGGAAUAUUGCACAAUGGGGGGAACCCUGAUGCAGCAACGCCGCGUGGAGGAUGACGCAUUUCGGUGUGUAAACUCCUUUUAUAUGUCAAGAAAAUGACGGUAGCAUAUGAAUAAGCACCGGCUAACUCCGUGCCAGCAGCCGCGGUAAUACGGAGGGUGCAAGCGUUACUCGGAAUCACUGGGCGUAAAGGACGCGUAGGCGGGCUUGUAAGUCAGGUGUGAAAUCCUACAGCUUAACUGUAGAACUGCACUUGAAACUACGAGCCUAGAGUAUGGGAGGGGGAGAUGGAAUUAGUGGUGUAGGGGUAAAAUCCGUAGAUAUCACUAGGAAUACCUAAAGCGAAGGCGAUCUCCUGGAACACAACUGACGCUAAGGCGUGAAAGCGUGGGGAGCAAACAGGAUUAGAUACCCUAGUAGUC
This 439-nucleotide ribosomal RNA is filed under the name uncultured bacterium. RNAcentral describes it as "partial 16S ribosomal RNA". It matches the Rfam family "Bacterial small subunit ribosomal RNA", at positions 339 to 795 of the family's 1533-position model. The record is from RNAcentral.